RNAcentral lists this ribosomal RNA (439 nucleotides) under uncultured bacterium. RNAcentral's name for it is "bacterial SSU rRNA". It matches the Rfam family "Bacterial small subunit ribosomal RNA", at positions 30 to 471 of the family's 1533-position model. The record is from RNAcentral.
AUUGAACGCUGGCGGCAUGCUUUACACAUGCAAGUCGAACGGCAGCACGGGUGCUUGCACCUGGUGGCGAGUGGCGGACGGGUGAGUAAUACAUCGGAACGUGUCCUGAAGUGGGGGAUAACGCAUCGAAAGAUGUGCUAAUACCGCAUAAUCUCUAAGGAGAAAAGUAGGGGAUCGAAAGACCUUAUGCUUUUGGAGCGGCCGAUGUCUGAUUAGCUAGUUGGUAAGGUAAUGGCUUACCAAGGCGACGAUCAGUAGUUGGUCUGAGAGGACGGCCAGCCACACUGGGACUGAGACACGGCCCAGACUCCUACGGGAGGCAGCAGUGGGGAAUUUUGGACAAUGGGCGCAAGCCUGAUCCAGCAAUGCCGCGUGAGUGAAGAAGGCCUGGUGUAAGACUCUUUCUAGUUGAAAGAAAAAAUAACAAUAGACUAAUAAA